This 1085-nucleotide long non-coding RNA is filed under the name Monodelphis domestica (gray short-tailed opossum). RNAcentral describes it as "lncRNA (ENSMODG00000051142.1)". The record is from RNAcentral. Lineage: Eukaryota; Metazoa; Chordata; Mammalia; Didelphimorphia; Didelphidae.
CAGGCUGGAUGUGCCACAGAGAUCUCAGCUCUUAGUCUGAAGAAGAGAUGGGUCUAGCAUGGGAGCCACCUUCAGCCUAUCCUAGAAAGGAGAGACAAGGCUUUUUCUUCUUGGCCCCAGUAGACAGACCUAGGAGGAACAAUAGGUGGAAAUGGCCAACAGGCCAAGUGAGGCUGAAUGUCCCAAAGAACCACCUAAGGGAGUGCUGUCUAUAGAUAGAAUGGGUUGCCUCCAAGUGGUGGUCUUUAAGCGACCCCUGGCCAAUUAGAGUGCACAGGAGAUUCCUGUCCAUGAAAGGUUAGAAGAGACCUGUCAGUCAGCUUCCAAAGAUGAAUCCAUGACGCUGAGAGACAGUCUUCUAGACCCAGAUAUCCAUCAAAUAUCAUAUUAUUUUAAAAUAAUUGGAGGAUUUUUGGAGAAAGAAGCCAGCUCCUUGAAGGCCCUUUGGGCCCACCCUCUGCCUGAUACAAGAAUCUACUUCAGUUCUUACAACAUCCGUGACCACGGUUUAGCUAGCAGAAUGCUUCCAGCCAUGGGACUCACUGCCUCCUGGACCUGAGAAACAAAUCCUCUCUAGCACUCUUUCUGGUUGCCUCCCUAAACCUGGAAGCUCUCCUUUCUCAUCUCUACCUCCUAACCUUCCUGACUUUUUUCAAGUUCCAACAAAAAUCCCACCUUCUAUAAGAAGUUUUAAUUCUAGCACCUUCCCUCUAUUAUUUAUUUCCUAUUUAUCCUUUCUUUAGCUUGUUGGUACAUAUUUAUUUGCUUGGUGUUUCUCCUAAUAGACUGUAAACUCCUGGAGGUGUAUAAAUGGAGAUUUUUGACCCCUAGACUUCAUUGCCCAGAGGUUCUUGGUAUUUCUCAGAAUUCCCUAUAACCUCUCCUGAGUCUCCACAUUGGCGAGAUCACAAUUGGUAUUUAACUGGCAGUAACACCUCCCAUGCUCUCUUCCUUUGCAAAUGAUGCAGCAAGUAUGGUGGUAAGCUAAGGGCAGGGAUUUUAAAUGGGCUAAUCAGCCAUGGGCACAUGGUUUUUAUUUUGUAUCCUCUUUAUUCCUUGAUUUUUAAUGAUCCUUAAUAAACCUC